UGCGCAGGCGGGGAUGGAAGUCAGUGGUGAAAUACUGCCGCUCAACGGUAGAACUGCCAUUGAUACUGCAUCUCUUGAGUAUGGUUGAGGUAGGCGGAAUGUGUUGUGUAGCGGUGAAAUGCAUAGAUAUGACACAGAACGCCAAUUGCGAAGGCAGCUUACUAAGCCAUUACUGACGCUGAGGCACGAAAGCGUGGGGAGCGAACAGGAUUAGAUACCCUGGUAGUCC
Molecule: ribosomal RNA, 229 nt
Filed under: uncultured bacterium
Lineage: Bacteria
Description: partial 16S ribosomal RNA
Rfam family: Bacterial small subunit ribosomal RNA
Source: RNAcentral